RNAcentral lists this ribosomal RNA (406 nucleotides) under uncultured bacterium. RNAcentral describes it as "partial 16S ribosomal RNA". It matches the Rfam family "Bacterial small subunit ribosomal RNA", at positions 30 to 526 of the family's 1533-position model. The record is from RNAcentral.
AUUGAACGCUGGCGGCAGGCUUAACACAUGCAAGUCGAACGAGUGGCGGACGGGUGAGUAAUGUCUGGGAAACUGCCUGAUGGAGGGGGAUAACUACUGGAAACGGUAGCUAAUACCGCAUACCAUCAGAUGUGCCCAGGUGGGAUGAGCUAGUAGGUGGGGUAAUGGCUCACCUAGGCGACGAUCCCUAGCUGGGCUGAGAGGAUGACCAGCCACACUGGAACUGAGACACGGUCCAGACUCCUACGGGAGGCAGCAGUGGGGAAUAUUGCACAAUGGGCGCAAGCCUGAUGCAGCCAUGCCGCGUGUGUGAAGAAGGCCUUCGGGUUGUAAAAUGCUUUCAGCGAGGAGGCGUUACUCGCAGAAGAAGCACCGGCUAACUCCGUGCCAGCAGCCGCGGUAAUUC